UAUCAAGUGAUAAAUCUUAAUGCUAUUGAUUCAGAGGGGAAGGAGGAAAUUUGAGACUACAAAGCCACACAGGAAUUCGUUUGAGUAUAUGAAUAUCAGACCCUCAAAUUAUUUGUCUACAAAUAUAACAAACAACAAAAACAGCUCUGCAUCAUCAUUAGGCACAAGUUACAUAUCUGAGUUAAUCAUCAUCCUCUAGAACACUCCGCCGCCUCUGGAUUGUGACUUUUGUCUGUUUAGUUGUUUGAUUGUUAAUCUGUUCCAGUAAUGAAAUGAGCCU
This 280-nucleotide unclassified non-coding RNA is filed under the name Hevea brasiliensis (rubber tree). The record is from RNAcentral. Lineage: Eukaryota; Viridiplantae; Streptophyta; Magnoliopsida; Malpighiales; Euphorbiaceae.